This 63-nucleotide non-coding RNA is filed under the name unclassified sequences. RNAcentral describes it as "RAGATH-18 RNA". It matches the Rfam family "RAGATH-18 RNA". From Rfam's summary of the family: Actinobacteria, Firmicutes, Fusobacteria, Thermotogae (1 example). Nearby to self-cleaving ribozyme genes The record is from Rfam by way of RNAcentral.
CCCUCGGACUGCUAUAUCAAACCAAAGUAGCUUUAAGCAAAAUGGAGUAGGUUGAACAGGGAA